UCCUUGGUGGCUCAGAUGGUAAAGUGUCUGCCUGCAGUGUGGGAGACCCAGGUUCGAUCUCUGGUUUGGGAA
This 72-nucleotide transfer RNA is filed under the name Bos taurus (domestic cattle). It matches the Rfam family "tRNA". From Rfam's summary of the family: Transfer RNA (tRNA) molecules are approximately 80 nucleotides in length. Their secondary structure includes four short double-helical elements and three loops (D, anti-codon, and T loops). Further hydrogen bonds mediate the characteristic L-shaped molecular structure. tRNAs have two regions of fundamental functional importance: the anti-codon, which is responsible for specific mRNA codon recognition, and the 3' end, to which the tRNAs corresponding amino acid is attached (by aminoacyl-tRNA synthetases). tRNAs cope with the degeneracy of the genetic code in two manners: having more than one tRNA (with a specific anti-codon) for a particular amino acid; and 'wobble' base-pairing, i.e. permitting non-standard base-pairing at the 3rd anti-codon position. RNAcentral also lists the same sequence under 4 other names. Lineage: Eukaryota; Metazoa; Chordata; Mammalia; Artiodactyla; Bovidae. The record is from Rfam by way of RNAcentral.